GAGUUUGAUCCUGGCUCAGGAUGAACGCUGGCGGCGUGCUUAACACAUGCAAGUCGAACGAAGCGAUCAGGAGGAAGUUUUCGGAUGGAAUCCGGAUUGACUGAGUGGCGGACGGGUGAGUAACGCGUGGGUAACCUGCCUCAUACAGGGGGAUAACAGUUAGAAAUGACUGCUAAUACCGCAUAAGCGCACAGGGACACAUGUUCCGGUGUGAAAAACUCCGGUGGUAUGAGAUGGACCCGCGUCUGAUUAGCUGGUUGGCGGGGUAACGGCCCACCAAGGCGACGAUCAGUAGCCGACCUGAGAGGGUGACCGGCCACAUUGGGACUGAGACACGGCCCAAACUCCUACGGGAGGCAGCAGUGGGGAAUAUUGCACAAUGGGGGAAACCCUGAUGCAGCAACGCCGCGUGAGUGAAGAAGUA
RNAcentral lists this ribosomal RNA (424 nucleotides) under uncultured bacterium. RNAcentral describes it as "bacterial SSU rRNA". It matches the Rfam family "Bacterial small subunit ribosomal RNA", at positions 9 to 415 of the family's 1533-position model. The record is from RNAcentral.